UACGUAGGUGGCAAGCGUUAUCCGGAUUUACUGGGUGUAAAGGGGGCGCAGACGGCAGCGCAAGCCAGGAGUGAAAGCCCGGGGCCCAACCCCGGGACUGCUCUUGGAACUGCGCGGCUGGAGUGCAGGAGGGGCAGGCGGAAUUCCUGGUGUAGCGGUGAAAUGCGUAGAUAUCAGGAGGAACACCGGUGGCGAAGGCGGCCUGCUGGACUGCGACUGACGUUGAGGCCCGAAAGCGUGGGGAGCAAACAGG
This 253-nucleotide ribosomal RNA is filed under the name uncultured bacterium. RNAcentral's name for it is "partial 16S ribosomal RNA". It matches the Rfam family "Bacterial small subunit ribosomal RNA", at positions 524 to 776 of the family's 1533-position model. The record is from RNAcentral.